RNAcentral lists this unclassified non-coding RNA (871 nucleotides) under Hevea brasiliensis (rubber tree). The record is from RNAcentral. Lineage: Eukaryota; Viridiplantae; Streptophyta; Magnoliopsida; Malpighiales; Euphorbiaceae.
UAUGUUUUCAAUGUAUUUGCAGGAAACAGGAGAAAAAGAUGUGAAAAAUCUUUAAUGAAUUAGCUCCUGUACGUGUACAAAUAAUGAGUAAAGAAUAAGUUCCCUAAUCACUACAAAUGCAUCUUCAUCAAUGCACUUUUCCUAUGUACACAAGUUCUCUAAUGAUUAAAAAACAAAAACAAAAACAAAAAAAGCAGCAGGUUAGAAGCCUAAUAUAUAUGAGAUGAUGGGUUUCCAUUUUCCAAUCAAAAGUAAUUAAUAAAAGAAAAUAAAGUUAACUAACGUGCAUGUUUAAUUAAUUUGUUAAUAAUUUUCCCUGUUUGGAAGCACAUUUUUAUCAUUUUUUCUUUUUCCAGCACAUCCAUAAAUAAAAACACACGCAUAUAUAUGAAGACUAAUCCACUAUUUGCCUUAUAUUAUAUGUUAAUUAAAAGAACAUAAUGAACAAGAAAUGACAUUAAAUUGACAUCCAAAGGGUCACCUCUUGAGAUUUUAAAUUCUCUCUGCAUGACCUUAACUUACUAAUACUAAUUUAUACAUAAUAUUGCAGUGCAGGUUACUGAUAACCCAUGUAGGAAACAAUCACUAGAUUGCUAGUUUAACAAUUUCAUGAUAACAAUUACUUGCUAAGUUGCAUUUUCUGAAUUAAUUAUAAUGAAUUAAAGAUUCUUUCAUCUCCUUCUUCCACCCUUCUAAUUCUGUAGAGAUGAGCAUAUUUCUACCCUAUUUUUGUCAUUAUACUGUUAUACAAACAAUAAUUCAGCAAGUCACAUUUUAGUUUUCCUUGUGUUGGUAGAGUUUCAAGAACUGCAAAUUACAACUAUAACAAGAACAAGAUGACACAUACCUUCUGGACCAGUGGAGGCAUCAG